GAAAACUGCCGUUGAUACUGUCUGACUUGAAUAGUAAUGGGAAGUAACUAGAAUAUGUAGUGUAGCGGUGAAAUGCUUAGAUAUUACAUGGAAUACCAAUUGCGAAGGCAGGUUACUACGUACUUAUUGACGCUGAUGAACGAAAGCGUGGGUAGCGAACAGGAUUAGAUACCCUGGUAGUCCACGCCGUAAACGAUGGAUACUAGCUGUUCGGACUUCGGUUUGAGUGGCUAAGCGAAAGUGAUAAGUAUCCCACCUGGGGAGUACGUUCGCAAGAAUGAAACUCAAAGGAAUUGACGGGGGCCCGCACAAGCGGUGGAGCAUGUGGUUUAAUUCGAUGAUACGCGAGGAACCUUACCAGGGCUUAAAUGUAGAUUGACAGGUUUGGAAACAGACUUUUCUUCGGACAAUUUACAAGGUGCUGCAUGGUUGUCGUCAGCUCGUGCCGUGAGGUGUCAGGUUAAGUCCUAUAACGAGCGCAACCCCUAUUGUUAGUUACCAGCGCGUUAAGGCGGGGACUCUAGCAAGACUGCCGGUGCAAACCGUGAGGAAGGUGGGGAUGACGUCAAAUCAUCACGGCCCUUACGUCCUGGGCUACACACGUGCUACAAUGGCAAGUACAGAAAGCAGCUACCUGGCAACAGGAUGCGAAUCUCCAAAGCUUGUCUCAGUUCGGAUUGGAGUCUGCAACUCGACUCUAUGAAGCUGGAAUCGCUAGUAAUCGGAUAUCAGCCAUGAUCCGGUGAAUACGUUCCCGGGC
This 760-nucleotide ribosomal RNA is filed under the name Myroides sp. JSM 111017. RNAcentral's name for it is "bacterial SSU rRNA". It matches the Rfam family "Bacterial small subunit ribosomal RNA", at positions 616 to 1379 of the family's 1533-position model. Lineage: Bacteria; Pseudomonadati; Bacteroidota; Flavobacteriia; Flavobacteriales; Flavobacteriaceae. The record is from RNAcentral.